GAGGGGAAGGACGAGAGUUGUCGCUGGCCUUUCGCGAGGCAUGUGCACGCUUUCUUCUGGACUUUCGCCGUAUGGGCGCGGGGCCACCCGCGUCUUCAUGCACCUCUUCGUGUAGAAAGUCUUUGAAUGUUAUACCAUCAUCGAGUCGCGACUUCUAGGAGACGCGAUUCUUUGAGACAAAAGUUAUUACAACUUUCAGCAACGGAUCUCUUGGCUCUCGCAUCGAUGAAGAACGCAGCGAAUCGCGAUAUGUAAUGUGAAUUGCAGAUCUACAGUGAAUCAUCGAAUCUUUGAACGCACCUUGCGCUCCUCGGUGUUCCGAGGAGCAUGCCUGUUCGAGUGUCAGUAAAUUCUCAACCCCUCUCGAUUUGUUUCGAGCGGACGUUUGGAUAGUGGGGGCUGCCGGAGACCUGGAUUUAUUUCAGGACUCGGGCUCUCCUGAAAUGCAUCGGCUUGCGGUCGACUUUCGACUUUGCANGACAAGGCCUUCGGCGUGAUAAUGAUCGUCGUCGGCCGAAGUGCACGAAUGAACCGUCCCGCGCCUCUAAUACGUCGACGCUUUCUGGCGUCUUCCUUAUU
RNAcentral lists this ribosomal RNA (579 nucleotides) under Suillus caerulescens. RNAcentral describes it as "eukaryotic LSU rRNA". The stretch from base 191 to 345 matches the Rfam family "5.8S ribosomal RNA". The record is from RNAcentral. Lineage: Eukaryota; Fungi; Basidiomycota; Agaricomycetes; Boletales; Suillaceae.